RNAcentral lists this unclassified non-coding RNA (20 nucleotides) under Solidago nitida. RNAcentral's name for it is "partial 18S ribosomal RNA". Lineage: Eukaryota; Viridiplantae; Streptophyta; Magnoliopsida; Asterales; Asteraceae. RNAcentral also lists the same sequence under 11 other names. The record is from RNAcentral.
GCUACCUGGUUGAUCCUGCC